This 68-nucleotide transfer RNA is filed under the name Qingshengfaniella alkalisoli. RNAcentral describes it as "Litoreibacter sp. LN3S51 tRNA-Ser". The record is from RNAcentral. Lineage: Bacteria; Pseudomonadati; Pseudomonadota; Alphaproteobacteria; Rhodobacterales; Paracoccaceae.
CCCCGUGACAGCAUAAAAGUUGACUGUUAAUCAAUUGGUCGUAGGUUCGAUCCCUACCGCCGGAGCCA